This 234-nucleotide long non-coding RNA is filed under the name Helianthus annuus (common sunflower). RNAcentral describes it as "hypothetical non coding rna". The stretch from base 1 to 93 matches the Rfam family "Small nucleolar RNA snoR20a". Lineage: Eukaryota; Viridiplantae; Streptophyta; Magnoliopsida; Asterales; Asteraceae. The record is from RNAcentral.
GCCAGUGAUGACAGUUUAUAAAAUGGUUGACUGAAAAGCAAGUUUUUAAGCCUGCAAAGUUGUUGAAAAUCAUGAACUAGGACGGUCUGAGGCUAUUCUCAUUUGGGUUUUUGCAAAGCUUGAAUCUUUUUUUUUUUUUUUGGUGACGUGGGUUGUGUAUGAUGAUAUCAUAUGUUCAAUACAGUUAUCCCUGUCUGAUAAAUCUUGAUGUAUUACAUUUGAUCUGACUUAUAC